Setaria italica (foxtail millet) is the source of this 772-nucleotide long non-coding RNA. RefSeq lists it as uncharacterized. The record is from RefSeq and is a predicted model, not a curated record. NCBI's taxonomy places the organism in Eukaryota, Viridiplantae, Streptophyta, Magnoliopsida, Poales, Poaceae. The transcript is spliced from 2 exons.
GGUGACUGCGAGACGGAAAUAACGAUGCGUUACCAGGCCUAGCGCGUCAUCAUCAACAAAAUCUCUGCAAGUUCUAGAAACAUAAUCGCUGCAUUGCGACUGCGAGACAGCAGCGGCGGCGGUGGCGGCUGCGCUGUGACUCCAAGAUCCGGUGCAGCGCUGCGAGGGGCCGACGCGAUGCUCAUCUCCAAGAUCCGGUGAGAAGGGGCAGAGAUCCCCUCUAGAGCUGCGACGGGGCAGUGCGGUGCUCAUCUCCAAGAAAUCCCCGCGACAACGAGUUGUCUCCGCCACAAAGCGGUUGAUACUCGUCCACACUAUCAUUGCUGACGUGCUCUCCGUUAGGCAAUUCCCCAACAACAUUCUCGGCAAGGUUACUGUAAUCUCAACAAUACUGGACUUGUGUUGUUUUCUGCCAUAGCUCGGAGGCCCGUUAAGAAUGGUCAGAGCUGGAUAUUUACCUGGAGGAUCCUAGAGUUCUUGUGAGUUCAGAUGAGCACUUCAAUGUUCUUGCAUGGUGGAAGAAGAAUUCUAAUGCUUAUCCAAUCUUGUCUUUGAUGGCUAUAGACUUUCUUUUUAUUCCUGUUAGCACAGUAUCCUUAGAAUCAGCCUUUAGUGUAGCCUUUAGUGAUGCUGACAUAUGCUUGUUCUGUUUUUUAACUAGCUAUGGUGACAUAUAGUUAAAAUCUUCUUCUGAACAAAAUCUGGUGACAUAUGCUUGUUCUGUUUUGAUUGCUAUUUGCUACCGGCCAGGAAAUUGAUAUAGCUUCCUCUC